Molecule: small RNA, 86 nt
Filed under: Bison bison bison
Lineage: Eukaryota; Metazoa; Chordata; Mammalia; Artiodactyla; Bovidae
Description: NoRC associated RNA, pRNA (ENSBBBG00000000161.1)
Rfam family: NoRC associated RNA, pRNA
Source: Rfam by way of RNAcentral
UUAUGGGGUAGCGCUGGGGACAGGUGGCCGGGCCAAGGUUCCGGGGGGCCUCCAUGAGAGUCGUGGAUGGGCCCCGCUGUCGGCUG